RNAcentral lists this ribosomal RNA (500 nucleotides) under uncultured Glomeromycotina. RNAcentral describes it as "partial small subunit ribosomal RNA". It matches the Rfam family "Eukaryotic small subunit ribosomal RNA", at positions 591 to 1092 of the family's 1831-position model. The record is from RNAcentral. Lineage: Eukaryota; Fungi; Glomeromycota.
CCAAUAGCGUAUAUUAAAGUUGUUGCAGUUAAAAAGCUCGUAGUUGAAUUUCGGGAUCAGUACGCCGGUCGUGCCUUCGGUAUGCACUGGUGUCACUGGUUUCUCCCUUCUGAAGAACCAUCAUGCCAUUAAGUUGGUGUGGCGGGGAAUCAGGACUGUUACUUUGAAAAAAUUAGAGUGUUUAAAGCAGGCUCGCGCUUGCAUACAUUAGCAUGGAAUAAUGAAAUAGGACGUUUGACCCUAUUUUGUUGGUUUCUAGGAUCGACGUAAUGAUUAAUAGGGAUAGUUGGGGGCAUUAGUAUUCAAUUGUCAGAGGUGAAAUUCUUGGAUUUAUUGAAGACUAACUACUGCGAAAGCAUUUGCCAAGGAUGUUUUCAUUAAUCAAGAACGAAAGUUAGGGGAUCGAAGACGAUCAGAUACCGUCGUAGUCUUAACCAUAAACUAUGCCGACUAGGGAUCGGAUGAUGUUAAUUUUUUAAUGACUCAUUCGGCGCCUUACG